Scleropages formosus (Asian bonytongue) is the source of this 379-nucleotide long non-coding RNA. RefSeq lists it as uncharacterized. The transcript has 2 exons. The record is from RefSeq and is a predicted model, not a curated record. NCBI's taxonomy places the organism in Eukaryota, Metazoa, Chordata, Actinopteri, Osteoglossiformes, Osteoglossidae.
CUUCAGAUCGAGACAGGGUCCAAAUGUCACUUGCUUUCAUUUUAUACUCAUUCACUGGAUUUGGGUUUAGAACAGGUCCUAAAACUCAGAUAUCAUAUCAACUGGAACCACUGAGUUGGUAGAACACAGGACAGGUACACAGCUCAUCAACUUGAAAUAUCCGGGUUCGCACCGGGAAGUUAACUACUAACAACGCUAAGCUUUAUCUAUUCAACACCAUAUAUUACAGUGAAAUAUAUAUUUGUAUAGUCAUUCGACAGGCUGUGUCUGAAUGAAAAGUUUUUAUAUAUGCAGUACUCAUGUGUGCGCAGGCAGGGGGGGGUACGAUUGUCACGUUACAGUCGGUCAAUUAAUGAGCAAAACGCGCUUCAGUUUAAAA